This is a long non-coding RNA of Platichthys flesus (European flounder), 494 nucleotides long. RefSeq lists it as uncharacterized. The record is from RefSeq and is a predicted model, not a curated record. NCBI's taxonomy places the organism in Eukaryota, Metazoa, Chordata, Actinopteri, Pleuronectiformes, Pleuronectidae. The transcript is spliced from 3 exons.
UGGACGUGUGUUCUGUGUUUAAUCGUCAGUUCCUGUUUCCUGUUCUGUGCUCCUAGUUUCACCUUUGCUCAUCUUCGUUACUCUACUUCCGCCUUUUGGAGUUUUGGAUCUUGAACUUUCCUUCCUGCCGUUCAGAGCCUGUCUGCAUUUUUAAUCAAACAUUUUUUCUUUGCUGCACUUCCUGCUAAAUCCAUAAUCUGCAUUUUGAGUCCUGCAAACGUUAAACCCUAAACAGAAAGUGUCCUGCUGGGCUCCUGAGAGCCAUUCUGCAAAACCAGACGAUGCGGUUGGGGAAGCCCUGUCUGCAGAUACGGAUUCCCUCCAGCACACCGUUACACCUCAGCUGGUCCAGAACCAGCGGACAAAGUUGGGGUUGGUGUUCCUCAGCGUGGCCAUGAGCUUGGACAGCUGCUCCUUGUACAGCUGGCCCACCGUGCGGAACAUGCCCUUCUUGGUUUUGUACGCGGCACCGAACGCCGUCUCGUUCAUCCCGG